CGGAGGGCGACGACUAGGGUUUGCCAAGCCGUCACCUUGGCCGCCCCCGUCGUCGUCAAAUCGGCCGGAUCCGCGAGGCCACCCACUCCCCCCUGCUCCGGCCACGAUUCUCCACUGCUUCGUUGACAGCAACGUCCGACAACGGCACCUCUUAUCCCCAAUCCUGGUCGCGCCGCCCGAAGCUCCGGUGGUGCCAGCUUCGAACAAGUCUACUCCGGCCCCAUCUGGUACCACUUCGCAGGUUUGAAUGGCAAGGGAAACCAUCCUCAUCAGCGGUGAAGAGAGUGAUCACUGGACCACCUCAGAUGAUGCUUCAGAUGGCACUUCACGUGGGAGUGGCGGCUAUAGCGGUGAUGACGACACCUCUAGCGACUAUGACACUGAUGAUAGUUCUGAUGGAGAUGGAGAUGUGGACCACGAUCCUAUCUUGGCACUACGGGGUAAAGUUCUAUAUGGCUGGUCAGAUAUUAAAUGAACCGUGAAAUAUCGAAAGUUGAUGUUUGAGUGACACUUGAUUACCACACAUUGCUCUGUUUGGGUUCUAGAUGACCUUCCAAAUCAACAUUGACUGAACUAGAGCUUACAUAGAGCAGUGUUUAGUUGUUAGUUUAAAUAAAUCAAAUAUUCAAUUUGCCCAUGUUUCUAUGAGAUAUUGCUGGGUGGAUGUGAUUGGGUUAUCUAUGUCCUUCAUUUCUUGAUCAUUGGAGUAGGCAUUGAUCAUUAACCCAGUGCUGAUGUUCUAGAUCUUACGUAUGAAAUUAUUUACUACUCUGUCAUCUUAAUUUUUUUUGAUACAGGUCCGGGAUACCUUGUGAGAAAAGGAACUUUCGAGGAUCGCAUCUUCUACGGCAACCAUGUAUCGCUAAACAAGGAUCGGUGGGACUGUCUCAAAUCCAUAGUAAAGAAGUGCCAACCUACCAUAUCAUACUAUGUCAGCACCGUCACUCGCUCGGCAGCCAUCAGAGGGAAGAGCAAGAUGUGCUUCUCAAAGGAUUACAGUCAGGACUACCUCAAAGAUUAUCUGCGAAAGCACAUGGUUGUGCGUGUCACCAACGAACAUUUUGAAGGUAAUAAAAAGGUCUUGUUCAAGAUGGGCAAGAAGGACGGGCGUGCGAUCAUGACGAAGAACUGGAGAGAAGUCGUUGAGGGCGCCAGAAUGAAAGAAGAUCAAAUGGCUAUCUUCAGGUUCAUGGAAAGGAGUGGAGGUGGGCUUAGGGUGAACAUGGUUAGUGGCAUGAGGAUUCGUUGACCCAUGGCAGUAGUUUGACGCUAGUUUUAUACUCUGUAUGUACUAGCCAGUAACUGCAAGUUGGUAGUAUCAGCUUUUGGGUCCAGUAAGUGCAACUUAGUAGUAAUUGGUACUUGGUAGUAACUGGUACUUUGGUGGUAUAACUUUUGGGUCCGACUGGAUAUGAAGAUCGUCCAGUAAGUGGAACUUGGCAGUAACUUGGUGGUAGUAUGAAUCCUAUGUGGCGUAAUGUACUUGCUAUGCAAGUCUAUAUAUAUAACGCACCCUGGUACCCUCCUUGAUAUAAUUACAUUUAUGGACUGCAAUUAUAUUUCCUUUUUUUGCCACAGUGAUGCUAGUAUUUUUAGAAUCAAAUCUAACCGGGUUUCAAAUGGAUUAGACACUACUUUCAUUUUUGAACAAGGUUUUUGUGUUGGCUAGUACGAGUUAUUUUGAAAAUGCGGUUUGUAUGUGUGUCGUACAAAAAAAUGCAAUGCAAAACAAAAACUUGCAGGUCGAAAUGCAAUGCAAAAAAUGAUGUUUCUGUUACUUUCGAGAUGGCAUGCUAUUUUCGAAAACAGAGCAAACCAGCAUGUUUUUUUAAUUUGAAAAACAUUAUACUAAAAAACAUGCUAUCUUUUAAAAAGCGUAAUUAAAAAAAUGAUGUUUUCAAAAUCAGCACGCUGCUUUCAAAACAGCAUAUUUAAAUACGCAUGUAAUU
This is a non-coding RNA of Aegilops tauschii subsp. strangulata, 1949 nucleotides long. Lineage: Eukaryota; Viridiplantae; Streptophyta; Magnoliopsida; Poales; Poaceae. The record is from RefSeq and is a predicted model, not a curated record.